This is a long non-coding RNA of Macadamia integrifolia, 564 nucleotides long. RefSeq lists it as uncharacterized. The record is from RefSeq and is a predicted model, not a curated record. NCBI's taxonomy places the organism in Eukaryota, Viridiplantae, Streptophyta, Magnoliopsida, Proteales, Proteaceae. The transcript has 2 exons.
UAUAAAUAGGUCCCCACGGACCUUAGUAAUCCAUUUUCUCACUUGAACAGCAAGAGGAAGAAAGGAGAAAGGAGAAGAGAAGAAGAUCAAGAGAGAUCGACCUCUUAAGGCUGCUGUUGGAAGAUUCAGCAAACAGAUGUGCCAUAGGACUCUGCUGUUACAAAUUCCCUGAAGGUCAAAUGGCGUGUGGCGCUUUCUAUCUUCCCUUGAUGGGAUUAUUUUCUAUUCUCUGCAUUUUAACAGAGAGAGGAAGUUCUUUCUUGCUAUACACCAUUUAUUUCUCUUCCCACUAUUUCACUCAAAUCCAGGGGUUCUCCAGCAAAGCUAGUUAUGUGCUCAAUUAUUAACAGUGAGCAUUAUUUAGAUACACCCUUACUAUUGGCUUUUAAUAUUCUUGUUUUAAUUAUUUUUCUUCUUAAACCUUUGGUUUCUGUGAGUUAUUUUUGAAAAAAAAAAUGUAAUUAUUCUUGCCCAUUUAGUCUCUUCUUUCUGUAGUUAUCCAAACAAGAAACUUUGUGUUUCGAAGGAAACAUGGUGGUACAAUGUGGGAUCCUUUCAACCGUA